RNAcentral lists this ribosomal RNA (497 nucleotides) under uncultured bacterium. RNAcentral's name for it is "partial 16S ribosomal RNA". It matches the Rfam family "Bacterial small subunit ribosomal RNA", at positions 28 to 507 of the family's 1533-position model. The record is from RNAcentral.
GAUGAACGCUGGCGGCGUGCCUAAUACAUGCAAGUCGAGCGAACAGACGAGGAGCUUGCUCCUCUGACGUUAGCGGCGGACGGGUGAGUAACACGUGGAUAACCUACCUAUAAGACUGGGAUAACUUCGGGAAACCGGAGCUAAUACCGGAUAAUAUAUUGAACCGCAUGGUUCAAUAGUGAAAGACGGUUUUGCUGUCACUUAUAGAUGGAUCCGCGCCGCAUUAGCUAGUUGGUAAGGUAACGGCUUACCAAGGCAACGAUGCGUAGCCGACCUGAGAGGGUGAUCGGCCACACUGGAACUGAGACACGGUCCAGACUCCUACGGGAGGCAGCAGUAGGGAAUGUUCGGCAAUGGGCGAAAGCCUGACGGAGCAACGCCGCGUGAGUGAUGAAGGUCUUCGGAUCGUAAAACUCUGUUAUUAGGGAAGAACAAAUGUGUAAGUAACUAUGCACGUCUUGACGGUACCUAAUCAGAAAGCCCCGGCUAACUACGUG